This is a non-coding RNA of Myodes glareolus (Bank vole), 597 nucleotides long. Lineage: Eukaryota; Metazoa; Chordata; Mammalia; Rodentia; Cricetidae. The record is from RefSeq and is a predicted model, not a curated record.
UGGAUCCUCUUCUUAUCGCUGUGGCAACAUACAUGGCAGAGGUAAAAGAGGAGAGUUUCAUUUUGGCUCACAGUCUCGGAGGUAUUGACUCAGUCAUGGGAUAUAGAUACUGAUGGGGGUGGUAGCUUGACACGUGGUGUCUUCAUUUUAGUGAAUCAGGAAAAAAAACAGACUAAAAAUCAGAUUAGGUCAUAAACCCUAAAGUUCCACAUUCCACAGGGACCAACAUGUACCAACCAGGCCUUAUGUCCCAAGAGUUCCAUCACAUAAGGCAUCUGCACUAGCUAUCUCCCCAUUGAGUCUGCAGAUCAACACUGUAACAGUUAUUAUAACCGUUUUGAAAUAUUUUGAAUAUUCAAAAAGCUUUUACACUGCACAUGAAGCAGUAGAUUGCCAUAGCCCAGCAACAAUAAAUCUGAGGUUCUACUCUGAGGAGCUGUGAUUACAGACCUGGGUGUCAUCACCCUGGUUUGUGCUGAGGACUGAAGUCAAGUGAGACCUCAGAGAAGGAGUUCUUACAAGAUAACAGACUGAAAUCUAAUCGUAUCAAUUAUCCACUAACUGUGUGAUCUAAUCUGUUCAAACUGUCAAACUAAA